UGGGCGUUAAGUUGCAGGGUAUAGACCCGAAACCCGGUGAUCUAGCCAUGGGCAGGUUGAAGGUUGGGUAACACUAACUGGAGGACCGAACCGACUAAUGUUGAAAAAUUAGCGGAUGACCUGUGGCUGGGGGUGAAAGGCCAAUCAAACCGGGAGAUAGCUGGUUCUCCCCGAAAGCUAUUUAGGUAGCGCCUCGUGAAUUCAUCUCCGGGGGUAGAGCACUGUUUCGGCUAGGGGGCCAUCCCGGCUUACCAACCCGAUGCAAACUGCGAAUACCGGAGAAUGUUAUCACGGGAGACACACGGCGGGUGCUAACGUCCGUCGUGAAGAGGGAAACAACCCAGACCGCCAGCUAAGGUCCCAAAGUCAUGGUUAAGUGGGAAACGAUGUGGGAAGGCCCAGACAGCCAGGAUGUUGGCUUAGAAGCAGCCAUCAUUUAAAGAAAGCGUAAUAGCUCACUGGUCGAGUCGGCCUGCGCGGAAGAUGUAACGGGGCUAAACCAUGCACCGAAGCUGCGGCAGCGACGCUGAUGCGUUGUUGGGUAGGGGAGCGUUCUGUAAGCCUGUGAAGGUGGCCUGUGAGGGUUGCUGGAGGUAUCAGAAGUGCGAAUGCUGACAUAAGUAACGAUAAAGCGGGUGAAAAGCCCGCUCGCCGGAAGACCAAGGGUUCCUGUCCAACGUUAAUCGGGGCAGGGUGAGUCGACCCCUAAGGCGAGGCCGAAAGGCGUAGUCGAUGGGAAACGGGUUAAUAUUCCCGUACUUGGUGUUACUGCGAAGGGGGGACGGAGAAGGCUAUGUUGGCCGGGCGACGGUUGUCCCGGUUUAAGCGUGUAGGUGUGUGUUCCAGGUAAAUCCGGUUCACUUUAACACUGAGGCGUGAUGACGAGGCACUACGGUGCUGAAGCAACAAAUGCCCUGCUUCCAGGAAAAGCCUCUAAGCAUCAGGUAACAUCAAAUCGUACCCCAAACCGACACAGGUGGUCAGGUAGAGAAUACCAAGGCGCUUGAGAGAACUCGGGUGAAGGAACUAGGCAAAAUGGUGCCGUAACUUCGGGAGAAGGCACGCUGACACGUAGGUGAAGUGAUUUACUCA
This 1092-nucleotide ribosomal RNA is filed under the name Salmonella enterica subsp. enterica serovar Javiana. Its description in RNAcentral is "partial 23S ribosomal RNA". It matches the Rfam family "Bacterial large subunit ribosomal RNA", at positions 689 to 1773 of the family's 2925-position model. Lineage: Bacteria; Pseudomonadati; Pseudomonadota; Gammaproteobacteria; Enterobacterales; Enterobacteriaceae. The record is from RNAcentral.